AAAUAGGAGGGCCAGGUGAGAGACGAUGAAGUCGUGAGCCACUAGAAGUACCAUGGAGGAUAUGGAGAAGUAAUUCCAGUGAUAUUAAGGACACUCGAUGGCUGAUUAGAUGAGAGUGAGGAGUUAACAUACCUAGGUUUUUUGGACUGAACAACUUGGACAAACAGAAGGAAGACUAGAAUUAGGAACCGGGUGAUACCUCCAGCUUCGGAGAUGCCAGCUAUCUGGAAGAAACCGUCUAGGCCAACGUUUCCUUGUUGAUGUUCUGUUUGGAUGUUUGGAUGACCUAUCCAUUGAUGUUAUUGGGGUGUGCCCAUGCAGAUGUCUCCCGCACAUACUUUCUCAUUGCCUUGGUUUCACAGACACCUUGAAGGGCCACAGAGUCAUCCUUGCUCCCUGACUAAUGCUUGAAACAUCCCUCUUCGAGGUUUAUGCUGUGCCUUCACAGGAUGGUCCCCGAAACAAGAUGGACCUGCAGACAUGAUCAAGAAGAAAGCAGUUCUCUGUGGAGUAUUAGGCCUAAUUAUGGUGAAUGUGGGGAAGCUGAGAGUACAGAUUUACGCUGAUAUCAGGGGCUUGAUUUAGCUGCAAGUUCUGCAUCCACCUCAUCACACACAGUGCUAUGCGCUAAAAUAUCUGGAUGAAAGACUGUUUCCCCAUGGCCCAAGUCCUCCAAUAGAAGGAUCAUAUGAAGCCACAUCUAACGUCUGUUUCCCAGACUGUGGGAGAAGCCAUUGGCUUUGGGGCAAGCUGCCAGCACAGGCUGAUAGAUUGCAGCUGUCCUGUCCAUGGUUCUGGGGAGUCGAUAACUCAUGUUCCCAGAGUAAAGGCCAGAGCAGGAAGAGGACAUGUGAAACAUUCAUGAGCAGAUAUUUUGGACAUGGAAAUCCUCCCGGGCUGGGAUUUCCAGUAUUCCAGUGGGGAUACCAGGUCUUAGCCAGUCAGCCCCAAUAGUGUCUUUCUAAUGAUCUUGGUCCUUCUGGUCCCACCACUGUGGCCCUGCUUAAGGCCUGAGGGCUCCACAAUUGGAGAAUUGUUUCUGGAACUUUAUAAAAAAGGAUUUUUGAAUUUCUUUUUCAGUUUAGAGAUAUUAGGAGCUUCCUAUUACCAGAAUGUAGGUCCAAUCCUAUAUCCAAAGUGAGAUGUAUUAGGAGGUCUCCUAAUGUCUGCCAACUCAACACUUAGAUCAUAUUUUGGUCCAAGCGUCCCAGAAAUAAGAUAGACAUUUUUCUUAGACCCUCAUUACUACUUCCAAGAUAUCAUUCCUCCAUCUUGUCUUAGCCCCCUGCUUUUUGAGUUUGUUGCCCAUCAGCUACAUCAGCCUCAUCACUCAUAUCUACCUCAAGUCAUUUUCAUCCUUCUUUAAGAAUGUAGUCAUUGGAAUUUUUCUUUUGUCCCAUCUGUUCUUCUAUUUUCCCUCUUUUUCUGCCUUCUUUAGAUUGAGUAUGUUUUACGAUUUUAUUUUAUCAUGUUUGUUGGAUAUUAUCUAUGUCUUUGUUGUAUUAUUUUGGUGUUUGUUUUAGGGUUUAGAGUUUAUAAUAUAUGUGUUUAAUUUGUAACUCCCUUCAAGUGAUAUUAUACAACUUUCCUUACAGUAUAAGAACCUUACUAUAGCAUACUUCCAUUUCUCCCCUCCUGGUCUUUUGCUAUAGCUGUCCUAUGUUUCACUUAUACGUAGAUCACAAAUUCAAAAAUAUAGUUAUUACUUUUGCUUUAAGUGGCCUAUUGUCUUUUACAUAUAUUUAAAUAAUAAGGGAAAUCGUAUUUACAUCUACAGGUGUAGUUACCAUUUCCGGUGCUUUUUUACUCCUCUGCACUGAGCCAGAUUCUAUUU
Molecule: long non-coding RNA, 1834 nt
Organism: Equus asinus (donkey)
Lineage: Eukaryota; Metazoa; Chordata; Mammalia; Perissodactyla; Equidae
Source: Ensembl